CAAGGCUUGACAUAUAGGGAAAAGCGGCAGAGAUGUCGUGUCCGCAAGGGCUCUAUACAGGUGGUGCAUGGUUGUCGUCAGCUCGUGUCGUGAGAUGUUGGGUUAAGUCCCGCAACGAGCGCAACCCUCGUUCUGUGUUGCCAGCAUUUAGUUGGGGACUCACAGGAGACUGCCGGGGUUAACUCGGAGGAAGGUGGGGAUGACGUCAAAUCAUCAUGCCCCUUAUGUCUUGGGCUGCACGCAUGCUACAAUGGCCGAUACAAAGGGCUGCAAUACCGCAAGGUGGAGCGAAUCCCAAAAAGUCGGUCUCAGUUCGGAUUGAGGUCUGCAACUCGACCUCAUGAAGUCGGAGUUGCUAGUAAUC
Molecule: ribosomal RNA, 364 nt
Filed under: uncultured bacterium
Lineage: Bacteria
Description: bacterial SSU rRNA
Rfam family: Bacterial small subunit ribosomal RNA
Source: RNAcentral